Molecule: ribosomal RNA, 306 nt
Filed under: uncultured bacterium
Lineage: Bacteria
Description: partial 16S ribosomal RNA
Rfam family: Bacterial small subunit ribosomal RNA
Source: RNAcentral
GACAGCAGUAGCCGCGGUAAUACGGAGGGGGCUAGCGUUGUUCGGAAUUACUGGGCGUAAAGCGCACGUAGGCGGCUUGGUAAGUUAGAGGUGAAAGCCUGGAGCUCAACUCCAGAAUUGCCUUUAAGACUGCCGAGCUAGCAGGUGAGAGAGGUAAGUGGAAUUCCGAGUGUAGAGGUGAAAUUCGUAGAUAUUCGGAAGAACACCAGUGGCGAAGGCGGCUUACUGGCUCAUACUGGACGCUGAGGUGCGAAAGCGUGGGGAGCAAACAGGAUUAGAUACCCCUGUAGUCCCUGUCUCUUAUAC